GUGGGGAAUCUUAGACAAUGGGCGCAAGCCUGAUCUAGCCAUGCCGCGUGAGCGAUGAAGGCCUUAGGGUUGUAAAGCUCUUUCAGCUGGGAAGAUAAUGACGGUACCAGCAGAAGAAGCCCCGGCUAACUCCUUGCCAGCAGCCGCGGUAAUACGGAGGGGGCUAGCGUUGUUCGGAAUUACUGGGCGUAAAGCGCACGUAGGCGGAUCAGAAAGUCAGAGGUGAAAUCCCAGGGCUCAACCUUGGAACUGCCUUUGAAACUCCUGAUCUUGAGGUCGAGAGAGGUGAGUGGAAUUCCGAGUGUAGAGGUGAAAUUCGUAGAUAUUCGGAGGAACACCAGUGGCGAAGGCGGCUCACUGGUCCGGUACUGACGCUGAGGUGCGAAAGCGUGGGGAGCAAACAGGAUUAGAAACCCGUGUAGUCC
This 425-nucleotide ribosomal RNA is filed under the name uncultured bacterium. Its description in RNAcentral is "partial 16S ribosomal RNA". It matches the Rfam family "Bacterial small subunit ribosomal RNA", at positions 354 to 796 of the family's 1533-position model. The record is from RNAcentral.